GGGGUUAUGGCUCAAUGGUAGAGCACUCGCCUAGCAUGUGGGGGACCCUGGGUUCGAUCCUCAGCACCA
RNAcentral lists this transfer RNA (69 nucleotides) under Ictidomys tridecemlineatus (thirteen-lined ground squirrel). Its description in RNAcentral is "Spermophilus tridecemlineatus (thirteen-lined ground squirrel) tRNA". It matches the Rfam family "tRNA". Rfam says of the family: Transfer RNA (tRNA) molecules are approximately 80 nucleotides in length. Their secondary structure includes four short double-helical elements and three loops (D, anti-codon, and T loops). Lineage: Eukaryota; Metazoa; Chordata; Mammalia; Rodentia; Sciuridae. The record is from Rfam by way of RNAcentral.